RNAcentral lists this ribosomal RNA (415 nucleotides) under uncultured eukaryote. Its description in RNAcentral is "bacterial SSU rRNA". It matches the Rfam family "Eukaryotic small subunit ribosomal RNA", at positions 1230 to 1657 of the family's 1831-position model. The record is from RNAcentral.
ACGGUAAGGAUUGACGGACUGAAGGCUCUUUCUCGAUUCGUGGAAAGUGGUGCAUGGCCGUUUUUGGUUGGUGGAUCGAUCCGUCUGGUUAAUUCCGUUAACGAACGAGACCUCGGCACUCCGAAUAGCGCGGCGGACGUCGCGGCCUCCGGGCCGUCUUCCGCACGAGCUUCUUAGAGGGACCGUCCCCCGCCGGGGAAGGAGGUGCGAGGCAACGACAGGUCUGUGAUGCCCUUAGAUGUUCUGGGCCGCACGCGCAUUACACUGACGCGUCCAACGGGUGACUCCCGACCCGAAGGGGCCGGGGAAUCCGCAAGGCGCGUCGUGAUGGGGAUUGAACGUUGCAAUUGUUGUUCACGAACGAGGAAUUCCUAGUAGGCGCGGGUCAUCAACCCGCGCCGAUUACGUCCCUGCC